GUGUUCACUUUGGUAGCAUAUCUACUAAAAUUGGAAAAACACAUUGAAGAUUAGCAUGGACACUUUUCAUGACUGAUGCAUAAAUUUCAGAAGCAGACCAUAAAAUU
Small nuclear RNA from Rattus norvegicus (Norway rat), 107 nucleotides. NCBI's taxonomy places the organism in Eukaryota, Metazoa, Chordata, Mammalia, Rodentia, Muridae. The record is from Ensembl.